GUGGGUGUGGCUUAGUGGCAGAGCACUGGCCUAGUGAGUACAAGGUCCUGGGUUUGAUCCCCAGCACCACA
RNAcentral lists this transfer RNA (71 nucleotides) under Heterocephalus glaber (naked mole-rat). It matches the Rfam family "tRNA". From Rfam's summary of the family: Transfer RNA (tRNA) molecules are approximately 80 nucleotides in length. Their secondary structure includes four short double-helical elements and three loops (D, anti-codon, and T loops). Lineage: Eukaryota; Metazoa; Chordata; Mammalia; Rodentia; Bathyergidae. The record is from Rfam by way of RNAcentral.